GGAACGAACGCUGGCGGCAGGCUUAACACAUGCAAGUCGAGCGCCUCGCAAGAGGAGCGGCAGACGGGUGAGUAACGCGUGGGAAUCUACCCAUCUCUACGGAACAACUCCGGGAAACUGGAGCUAAUACCGUAUACGCCCUUCGGGGGAAAGAUUUAUCGGAGAUGGAUGAGCCCGCGUUGGAUUAGCUAGUUGGUGGGGUAAUGGCCUACCAAGGCGACGAUCCAUAGCUGGUCUGAGAGGAUGAUCAGCCACACUGGGACUGAGACACGGCCCAGACUCCUACGGGAGGCAGCAGUGGGGAAUAUUGGACAAUGGGCGAAAGCCUGAUCCAGCCAUGCCGCGUGAGUGAUGAAGGCCCUAGGUUGUAAAGCUCUUUCACCGGUGAAGAUAAUGACGGUAACCGGAGAAGAAGCCCCGGCUAACUUCGUGCCAGCAGCCGC
RNAcentral lists this ribosomal RNA (443 nucleotides) under uncultured soil bacterium. Its description in RNAcentral is "bacterial SSU rRNA". It matches the Rfam family "Bacterial small subunit ribosomal RNA", at positions 27 to 518 of the family's 1533-position model. The record is from RNAcentral.